GACGCACGCUGGCGGCGUGCUUAACACAUGCAAGUCGAACGCAGUGGCGAACGGGUGAGUAACGCGUAAUCCACCUGCCCUUCAGAGGGGGACAACAGUUGGAAACGACUGCUCAUACCGCAUACUUAAGGAGUUGCUUUCGUCUGAUUAGCUAGUUGGAGGGGUAACGGGCCACCAAGGCGAUGAUCAGUAGCCGGGCUGAGAGGAGGAACGGCCACAUUGGGAAUGAGACACGGCCCAGACUCCUACGGGAGGCAGCAGUGGGGAAUCUUUCGCAAGGGACGGAAGUCUGACGGAGCAACGCCGCGUGAUUGAUGACGGCCUUCGGGUUGUAAAGCUCUGUUAAUCGGGACGCGGUACCGGAAUAGAAAGCCACGGCUAACUACGUGCCAGCAGCCGCGGUAAUAC
Molecule: ribosomal RNA, 408 nt
Filed under: uncultured bacterium
Lineage: Bacteria
Description: partial 16S ribosomal RNA
Rfam family: Bacterial small subunit ribosomal RNA
Source: RNAcentral